GCACAAGCGGUGGAGCAUGUGGUUUAAUUCGAUGCAACGCGAAGAACCUUACCUGGUCUUGACAUCCACGGAAGUUUUCAGAGAUGAGAAUGUGCCUUCGGGAACCGUGAGACAGGUGCUGCAUGGCUGUCGUCAGCUCGUGUUGUGAAAUGUUGGGUUAAGUCCCGCAACGAGCGCAACCCUUAUCCUUUGUUGCCAGCGGUCCGGCCGGGAACUCAAAGGAGACUGCCAGUGAUAAACUGGAGGAAGGUGGGGAUGACGUCAAGUCAUCAUGGCCCUAUACGACCAGGGCUACACACGUGCUACAAUGGGCGCAUACAAAGAGAAGCGACCUCGCGAGAGCAAGCGGACCUCAUAAAGUGCGUCGUAGUCCGGAUUGGAGUCUGCAACUCGACUCCAUGAAGUCGGAAUCGCUAGUAAUCGUGGAUCAGAAUGCCACGGUGAAUACGUUCCCGGGC
Molecule: ribosomal RNA, 458 nt
Filed under: uncultured bacterium
Lineage: Bacteria
Description: bacterial SSU rRNA
Rfam family: Bacterial small subunit ribosomal RNA
Source: RNAcentral